This 85-nucleotide transfer RNA is filed under the name Rubripirellula lacrimiformis. Its description in RNAcentral is "Planctomycetes bacterium K22_7 tRNA-Ser". It matches the Rfam family "tRNA". From Rfam's summary of the family: Transfer RNA (tRNA) molecules are approximately 80 nucleotides in length. Lineage: Bacteria; Pseudomonadati; Planctomycetota; Planctomycetia; Pirellulales; Pirellulaceae. RNAcentral also lists the same sequence under 4 other names. The record is from RNAcentral.
GCGGAUGUGGCGGAAUUGGCAGACGCGCUAGAUUCAGGUUCUAGUGGCCGCAAGGUCGUGGAGGUUCAAGUCCUCUCAUCCGCAC